UCAUCAUAAGUGAAAACGUUAAGAGUGGAGUUUAACAUGCAUCUUGGUUUUAGUCCUUAAAAAUUAGAACAUGAAAUACAUUAAAGGUGUUGUCCAAAUCUUCAUCCUACUGGUGUCAUGGCUUAAAGCUCUCACUGAUGGAAGUGAUGUGACCCAGACUCCUCAGCUGUGGAGGAACAAAAGUCAGUCUGCCACCAUGCACUGCAGUCACACCAAAGGAGGCAGUUACUUCCAGAUGUACUGGUACAGACAGCGUCCAGGGCAGACAAUGGAGGAAAUUGUUUUCACCACUUUGACUCCUCCACACCAAUACCAAAGCGGCUUCAGCAAGGAGCGAUAUCCAGCUGAGAAGAAAGAUGCUGAAACUGGAUCUUUAACAGUGAAGACUCUGCUGCCUGACGACAGUGCGAUCUAUUUCUGCUCUGUAAGUCAACACAACGGUGCAGACCUGCCAGGCAGUGGUACAAUUAAUCUACUGCACUGUACUGAUGUGGCCAGAGGGGGUCGUUACAUAUUUGGUCCUCUAGAUGGAGCUCUAAACCCUAGGGCAGGGGUCUCCAACCUUUUUUAGAAUGAAAGACACUUUUGAUGUUAUUGAUUUAUACAUUCCAGAUGUGUGCAUUAGUUUACUUCUUAAAGCUCAGAGACAGAGACAGAGCAGAGAGUAUACUGUUACAUUAAAAAGGACCAGGACUGCAUGCUGGAGAGCUUUGCAGCAUUUUCUGGUCUUAUUGGUUCCACUAAAACUACUGGAUCAAAAUGUAACUAUUCUUUAAGCAUUUAGCUAAUCUCACAGUCGUUUCAUUUAUUCACCAGAUCAGUAUCUAGUCUAACUUCUCAAUAAUUCUAAACUGCUGUUGGUCCUGACACAUCUUUACAUGAUUGUAUUUCUUGGAAUAGUCUUAAAGAAACUACAGCCCAUGAUCGGAGUCAACACUACGUUGUAUACAUUUCUUCC
This is a non-coding RNA of Cynoglossus semilaevis (tongue sole), 958 nucleotides long. Lineage: Eukaryota; Metazoa; Chordata; Actinopteri; Pleuronectiformes; Cynoglossidae. The record is from the annotation of a RefSeq genome assembly.